CCUACGGGGAGGCAGCAGUGGGGAAUAUUGGACAAUGGGCGAAAGCCUGAUCCAGCCAUGCCGCGUGUGUGAAGAAGGCCUUCGGGUUGUAAAGCACUUUCAGUGGGGAAGAAAGCCUUGGGGCUAAUACCCUCGAGGAAGGACAUCACCCACAGAAGAAGCACCGGCUAACUCCGUGCCAGCAGCCGCGGUAAUACGGAGGGUGCGAGCGUUAAUCGGAAUUACUGGGCGUAAAGCGCGCGUAGGCGGUCUGAUAAGCCGGUUGUGAAAGCCCCGGGCUCAACCUGGGAACGGCAUCCGCAAGGGGCAGGUAGGAGGGGGGGAGAGGAAGGUAGAUGACCGGGGGGGGCGGGGAAAGGGGAAGAACACGGGAGGAAGAGAAGGGGCAGAGCGGGCCUUAGACACUGACCCGGACGCGGAGGUGACAAAUUGUGGGAAGCAACCGGGUUUAGCGACCGGGGGAGGG
This 466-nucleotide ribosomal RNA is filed under the name Vreelandella stevensii. RNAcentral describes it as "partial 16S ribosomal RNA". It matches the Rfam family "Bacterial small subunit ribosomal RNA", at positions 338 to 795 of the family's 1533-position model. Lineage: Bacteria; Pseudomonadati; Pseudomonadota; Gammaproteobacteria; Oceanospirillales; Halomonadaceae. The record is from RNAcentral.